GAUGAACGCUGGCGGCGUGCCUAAUACAUGCAAGUCGAGCGAACAGACGAGGAGCUUGCUCCUCUGACGUUAGCGGCGGACGGGUGAGUAACACGUGGAUAACCUACCUAUAAGACUGGGAUAACUUCGGGAAACCGGAGCUACUACCGGAUAAUAUAUUGAACCGCAUGGUUCAAUAGUGAAAGACGGUUUUGCUGUCACUUAUAGCUGGAUCCGCGCCGCAUUAGCUAGUUGGUAAGGUAACGGCUUACCAAGGCAACGAUGCGUAGCCGACCUGAGAGGGUGAUCAGCCACACUGGAACUGAGACACGGUCCAGACUCCUACGGGAGGCAGCAGUAGGGAAUCUUCCGCAAUGGGCGAAAGCCUGACGGAGCAACGCCGCGUGAGUGAUGAAGGUCUUCGGAUCGUAAAACUCUGUUAUUAGGGAAGAACAAAUGUGUAAGUAACUAUGCACGUCUUGACGGUACCUAAUCAGAAAGCCACGGCUAACUACGUG
Molecule: ribosomal RNA, 497 nt
Filed under: uncultured bacterium
Lineage: Bacteria
Description: partial 16S ribosomal RNA
Rfam family: Bacterial small subunit ribosomal RNA
Source: RNAcentral